GCACGCAUAGCUCAGCGGUUAGAGUGCUUGUAUCACACACAAGAGGUCCCUGGUUCGAAUCCAGGUGCGUGCA
RNAcentral lists this transfer RNA (73 nucleotides) under Candidatus Curtissbacteria bacterium. RNAcentral describes it as "tRNA-Val". It matches the Rfam family "tRNA". Rfam says of the family: Transfer RNA (tRNA) molecules are approximately 80 nucleotides in length. Their secondary structure includes four short double-helical elements and three loops (D, anti-codon, and T loops). Lineage: Bacteria; Candidatus Curtissiibacteriota. The record is from RNAcentral.